GACGAACGCUGGCGGCGUGCUUAACACAUGCAAGUCGAGCGAGGCCCCUCCUUCGGGAGGGUGUCCUAGCGGCGAACGGGUGAGUAACACGUGGGCGACCUGCCCUCAGCUCUGGGAUAACUCCGGGAAACCGGGGCUAAUACCGGAUACGACCUCCACGGGCAUCUGCGGAGGUGGAAAGUUUUUCGGCUGAGGAUGGGCCCGCGGCCUAUCAGCUAGUUGGUGGGGUAGUGGCCCACCAAGGCGACGACGGGUAGCCGGCCUGAGAGGGCGACCGGCCACACUGGGACUGAGACACGGCCCAGACUCCUACGGGAGGCAGCAGUGGGGAAUAUUGCGCAAUGGGCGAAAGCCUGACGCAGCGACGCCGCGUGAGGGACGAAGGCCUUCGGGUUGUAAACCUCUUUCAGCAGGGACGAAGCGAAAGUGACGGUACCUGCAGAAGAAGCACCGGCCAACUACGUG
This 465-nucleotide ribosomal RNA is filed under the name uncultured bacterium. RNAcentral describes it as "partial 16S ribosomal RNA". It matches the Rfam family "Bacterial small subunit ribosomal RNA", at positions 28 to 507 of the family's 1533-position model. The record is from RNAcentral.